RNAcentral lists this ribosomal RNA (38 nucleotides) under Mesochorus sp. SK-CA-2004a. RNAcentral's name for it is "partial 28S ribosomal RNA". Lineage: Eukaryota; Metazoa; Arthropoda; Insecta; Hymenoptera; Ichneumonidae. RNAcentral also lists the same sequence under 1 other name. The record is from RNAcentral.
ACGACCUCAGAGCAGGCGGGACUACCCGCUGAAUUUAA